Molecule: long non-coding RNA, 431 nt
Organism: Papaver somniferum (opium poppy)
Lineage: Eukaryota; Viridiplantae; Streptophyta; Magnoliopsida; Ranunculales; Papaveraceae
Exons: 3
Source: RefSeq, a predicted model, not a curated record
AAAACCACGAACAGAGACUGAAACCCGAUUUUUUUCCUCCUCUUCUCUCUUCAACCAAUUUCAUUCCCGUCACCUUCAUCUACUUUCCUUCUCCAUCAGCAAUAUAGUGAUUCAGUCAAAUUGUGGGUUUCUAUCACUGUCAAGGAGAGAUUUUGGUGAUGAAUUCAGAAUUUGAAAACUAGGGUUUCAUUAAUAAAGGAUAUAUAUUUGACUGGACUGAAAUUACGACCAUUGCUUUGAUGGUAACCUAUUGUAUCUGUUAACACAGGGCAAUGGGGCUCAUCUUCAAAAUAUCUGCACUGAAGCUGUGGAUGUUUGCAAUUCGUUUUCAAUGUGACUACCUUUAUGCAAGGGGCGUCACUUAGGCUGAUUUUCUUUGAUUAAAAUAGAUUUGGUUUGCCAAAAUAAGAUUUACGUUAAUCUAACUCAUG